This 274-nucleotide ribosomal RNA is filed under the name uncultured bacterium. RNAcentral's name for it is "partial 16S ribosomal RNA". It matches the Rfam family "Bacterial small subunit ribosomal RNA", at positions 523 to 796 of the family's 1533-position model. The record is from RNAcentral.
AUACGAAGGGAGCUAGCGUUGUUCGGAAUUACUGGGCGUAAAGCGCACGUAGACGGAUUGAUUAGUUAGGGGUGAAAUCCCAGGGCUUAACCCUGGAACUGCCUCUAAUACUGUCAGUCUAGAGAUCGAGAGAGGUGAGUGGAAUUCCGAGUGUAGAGGUGAAAUUCGUAGAUAUUCGGAGGAACACCAGUGGCGAAGGCGGCUCACUGGCUCGAUACUGACGCUGAGGUGCGAAAGCGUGGGGAGCAAACAGGAUUAGAUACCCUAGUAGUCC